UACGAAGGGGGCUAGCGUUGCUCGGAAUCACUGGGCGUAAAGCGCACGUAGGCGGCUUCUUAAGUCAGGGGUGAAAUCCUGGAGCUCAACUCCAGAACUGCCUUCGAUACUGGAAAGCUCGAGUCCGGGAGAGGUGAGUGGAACUGCGAGUAUAGAGGUGAAAUUCGUAGAUAUUCGCAAGAACACCAGUGGCGAAGGCGGCUCACUGGCCCGGUACUGACGCUGAGGUGCGAAAGCGUGGGGAGCAAACAGG
This 253-nucleotide ribosomal RNA is filed under the name uncultured bacterium. Its description in RNAcentral is "partial 16S ribosomal RNA". It matches the Rfam family "Bacterial small subunit ribosomal RNA", at positions 524 to 776 of the family's 1533-position model. The record is from RNAcentral.